This 472-nucleotide ribosomal RNA is filed under the name uncultured bacterium. RNAcentral describes it as "SSU rRNA". It matches the Rfam family "Bacterial small subunit ribosomal RNA", at positions 26 to 523 of the family's 1533-position model. The record is from RNAcentral.
AGAACGAACGCUGGCGGCGCGCCUAAUACAUGCAAGUCGAACGAGAUAGCAAUAUCUAGUGGCGCACGGGAGAGUAACACGUGGAUAAUCUCCCCUCGAGAGAAGAAUAACUAGUCGAAAGACUGGCUAAUACUUCGUAAGACCACAGAAGCGAAUGCUUCAGGGGUAAAAGUCGUAAGACGCUUGAGGAUGAGUCUGCGUCCCAUUAGCUAGUUGGUGAGGUAAUGGCUCACCAAGGCAACGAUGGGUAGCUGGUCUGAGAGGAUGAUCAGCCUCACUGGAACUGACACACGGUCCAGACUCCUACGGGAGGCAGCAGUAGGGAAUAUUGCACAAUGGGCGAAAGCCUGAUGCAGCGACGCCGCGUGAGUGAUGAAGGACUUCGGUUUGUAAAGCUCUGUUCUUAGGAAUAAAAAUAGAAUGUACCUGAGGAGAAAGGGACGGACUAACGUCGUGCCAGCAGCCGCGGUAA